Molecule: long non-coding RNA, 758 nt
Organism: Arachis duranensis
Lineage: Eukaryota; Viridiplantae; Streptophyta; Magnoliopsida; Fabales; Fabaceae
Exons: 3
Source: RefSeq, a predicted model, not a curated record
ACCCACAUCCCAGAUCCCACCCCUCUCGUUUCUCUCUGAAAAAGUGAAAAUUGGAGAACCCUAGUCCCCAAACAGCCAAACUCUUCUCAUCCGAACUUCAAACGUAGCUCGCAGCCACCAUUUCUCUUCGAAGUCAUCGCCACUCUUCUCUUCCGAGGACAGACGGUGGGUGCGGCGUCGCGUGUGGAACGCUGAAGGCUCUGUUCGGUGGAAGUUCGAACGCAGCUCGCAGCCACCAUCGUUUUCUCAUCGUUCCUCCUUUCGCCGCCGUCGUAAGAAGGUCUCCUACUCUCCUCUCCUCUCAUCGUUCUCGGUCGUCGUUUCCUCUAUUCGAGCUCUUUCUGUCUUUGCCGACAGUUCCCACUCCGCCGCCCCCUCACUUCCCUUCCUCCCUCGCUGCCAUGGAUAGGGUAAGUUUCUAAACCCAAUAAGAAAGCAGUUAAUAAAGCAUUGUUAGGUUCAAAAGAAGCUAUGCUUGGGAUUAGAUGAGGCUGCAGGUGUUCCUAUUGAACCAGAAUCACAAACAAAACUUUUAGAUGCUACCCUGAACUUGGAAGGAGUGUUGUUGGCUAGAGUUCCAGGAGCAGGAGAAUUUGAUGCGGUCUUUGCUGUUACUUUGGGAGAUUCAAGAAGCCAUGUGACAAAAAUAUGGAGCUUACUGAAUGUUAUUUAAUAUUUGAAAAUAUUAAAUUUAAAUAUUUGAAGUUAUAUGUUAAAUUUUUAAUAGUUUUAUUUAAUAUUUAACUAAAUCGGUUGAA